Molecule: long non-coding RNA, 347 nt
Filed under: Homo sapiens (human)
Lineage: Eukaryota; Metazoa; Chordata; Mammalia; Primates; Hominidae
Description: HSALNT0366775
Source: RNAcentral
AAGAAAAAUAAAUAAACCAUUUCAUGAUCAAGCUCUUAUUUCUAAAGAGAGGAUUUUAGGGCUAAACAAAUCAAAUAAGUAAGCCCUCCCCCACAUCUUCUCUAUUUCAUGUAGGUAAUGAUGGAGUUCAAAGGCACAGAGCCCCAUUUCUACAACAUAAGCAAAGUGAAAAUUAAUUCAUGGAAUACAAUGACAUAGCUGUGGUUGAUGAACUAUAUUUUAUCUAUUGCAAUGAUAUUUUGAGAUCCAGUGCUGCUCACUGAAUUUCCCUGUGAGGAGAGUUUGUGGUGAUGACCCAGCAACAGACAAGCUACUAUCCAAAAAAAGCUACUCACAUCAAAUCAAUU